This 68-nucleotide non-coding RNA is filed under the name unclassified sequences. The record is from RNAcentral.
GUAUUAUAAACUAGCAAGUUGUUUAUACAACCGGGCCAAAGGGCAACAGAAUUUUCUGUGGGACAGUU